This 151-nucleotide small nuclear RNA is filed under the name Bemisia tabaci. RNAcentral describes it as "U4 spliceosomal RNA". It matches the Rfam family "U4 spliceosomal RNA". Rfam says of the family: U4 small nuclear RNA (U4 snRNA) is a component of the major U2-dependent spliceosome. The record is from RNAcentral. Lineage: Eukaryota; Metazoa; Arthropoda; Insecta; Hemiptera; Aleyrodidae.
UGCUUUGCGCAGAGGCGAUAUCGUAACCGAUGAAGUUCAUCUGAGGUGCGAUUAUUGCUAGUUGAAACUUAAGUGGUACCGUUUGUAAUUUUUACAUAGCACUCUCCUUUGCAUGGGGAAGAAUUUAAAAAAACUCGAAAGAAUAAAGUUU